GAUGAACGCUGGCGGCGUGCCUAAUACAUGCAAGUCGAGCGAACGGACGAGAAGCUUGCGUCUCUGAUGUUAGCGGCGGACGGGUGAGUAACACGUGGAUAACCUACCUAUAAGACUGGGAUAACUUCGGGAAACCGUAGCCAAUACUGGAUAAUAUUUCGAACCGCAUGGUCCAAAAGUGAAAGACGGUCUUGCUGUCACCUAUAGAUGGAUCCGCGCUGCAUUAGCUAGUUGGUAAGGUAACGGCUUACCAAGGCAACGAUGCAUAGCCGACCUGAGAGGGUGAUCGGCCACACUGGAACUGAGACACGGUCCAGACUCCUACGGGAGGCAGCAGUAGGGAAUCUUCGGCAAUGGGCGAAAGCCUGACGGAGCAACGCCGCGUGAGUGAUGAAGGUCUUCGGGUCGUAAAGCUCUGUUAUUAGGGAAGAACAUCUGUGUAAGUAACUGUGCACGUCUUGACGGUACCUAAUCAGAAAGCCCCGGCUAACUACGUG
RNAcentral lists this ribosomal RNA (497 nucleotides) under uncultured bacterium. Its description in RNAcentral is "partial 16S ribosomal RNA". It matches the Rfam family "Bacterial small subunit ribosomal RNA", at positions 28 to 507 of the family's 1533-position model. The record is from RNAcentral.